AGAAAAGCAAAGAAAAGGAGCAGUAAAAGAGGCCGGUGGCGCAUAGAGAGCUGACCCGCAGGCUGAAAGGUCAGUCGUUCACCACUCUUUGAAGGUCACCUUGGAGCUUUGUUUUAGAAAUAGCGCAAGCUAAAGUAUAAAGCAACGGUUCUUCCGUUAUCAAGAAAAGUCAUGUACGUGACUUGCUGAGUCUGUAUUUCGCGAGGAAUACAGAAAAGUUGAGUGGUACCGCGAAAAACUCGCCUCAACA
RNAcentral lists this non-coding RNA (250 nucleotides) under Aeribacillus pallidus. Its description in RNAcentral is "T-box sequence". It matches the Rfam family "T-box leader". Rfam says of the family: Uncharged tRNA acts as the effector for transcription antitermination of genes in the T-box leader family. T-boxes are found upstream of many aminoacyl-tRNA synthetase genes and some amino acid biosynthetic genes usually in Gram-positive bacteria. The record is from RNAcentral. Lineage: Bacteria; Bacillati; Bacillota; Bacilli; Caryophanales; Bacillaceae.